AAUCCCCUGCAAUGUUCGUGAUUAGCUUUUGUUUUUUGAACCAUCACUUUGUACUGGGAACCCUUCCUUGUUAGUGGUGAGCAGGUCUGUCGGUAUUUCUUAGGAGAUACUCGCGGAAAGCCUAAAGCAGCAACAGGGAGCCACUUUUUUAGUAAGGUUCAAAAGGAAUGUUAACACGGCAUCUGCGGGGGACCC
RNAcentral lists this non-coding RNA (195 nucleotides) under Deltaproteobacteria bacterium. Its description in RNAcentral is "6S RNA". It matches the Rfam family "6S / SsrS RNA". From Rfam's summary of the family: E. coli 6S RNA was the first non coding RNA to be sequenced, but its function was unknown until recently. It consists of 184 nucleotides that fold into an extended hairpin structure with a large single-stranded internal bulge. The record is from RNAcentral. Lineage: Bacteria; Pseudomonadati; Myxococcota; Myxococcia.